Molecule: ribosomal RNA, 447 nt
Filed under: uncultured bacterium
Lineage: Bacteria
Description: partial 16S ribosomal RNA
Rfam family: Bacterial small subunit ribosomal RNA
Source: RNAcentral
AGCGAACGCUGGCGGCAGGCUUAACACAUGCAAGUCGAACGGUCCUUCGGGACAGUGGCGGACGGGUGAGUAACACGUGGGAACGUGCCCUUAGCUUCGGAACAACCCAGGGAAACUUGGGCUAAUACCGGAUGUGCCCUUCGGGGGAAAGAUUUAUCGGCUUUGGAGCGGCCCGCGUCUGAUUAGCUAGUUGGUGGGGUAAUGGCCUACCAAGGCGACGAUCAGUAGCUGGUCUGAGAGGAUGACCAGCCACACUGGGACUGAGACACGGCCCAGACUCCUACGGGAGGCAGCAGUGGGGAAUCUUGCGCAAUGGGCGAAAGCCUGACGCAGCCAUGCCGCGUGGAUGAUGAAGGUCUUAGGAUUGUAAAAUCCUUUCAGCGGGGACGAUAAUGACGGUACCCGCAGAAGAAGCCCCGGCUAACUUCGUGCCAGCCGCCGCCGUAA